Long non-coding RNA from Mauremys reevesii (Reeves's turtle), 894 nucleotides. RefSeq lists it as uncharacterized. The transcript is spliced from 3 exons. NCBI's taxonomy places the organism in Eukaryota, Metazoa, Chordata, Testudines, Geoemydidae. The record is from RefSeq and is a predicted model, not a curated record.
GCGCGCGCCGGGGGAGCAGGUUCGCUGUGGGACCUGGUCCCGACUCCCAGCGGCAGGACGCGGGGGCGGUGGAGGCGGGAGAGGCCGUUGGUGGCAGCAGCGCCGGCCGCUGAGCAUCCCCAGGAGGAGGCGGCCGACCACAGCCAGGGACUAGUACCUGCUGUUCCUGAGUUGGGAGGAGCGGAGAGCCCCACGGCCCGGCGGCUCUGAGCGCAUAGAAGUCUGAAUACAUCAUAAGCUCUGCUGGGCACCUUGGACUUACUCCUUCUGGACUGGGGUUCAAAAGAAAAGUGUUGGAAUUCUCCGCAACAUCACCCACUUGGGACACCGAAAUGAAAUGUCAUUCAUGGAUCUAGCUCUCCACCCCCCUUCACACUCCUAUCCCGCCACUCCCAAAGCUCCAGUGUCCUGCAUCUUUUCUCCAUUCCUACACGGAGGGGAACUAGACCUGCCCUGCAUGGCUCCUCCACGAUUUUCCUGGUCCUAGGCAACAGAACUAUGUUGGUUCCACUGGUUUUUGGACAUUGCACACCUGUGCAAAUAGGGAGAGGGAGAGUAUGAAUUAUCUACAAGUGGAUGCCCCAGAACUCAGCUGUUUUCUGUUGCAGGAGGAGUGUGAGAGUUCUCAUUGUAAUGGAAGAGAAACAAAGGAUGCAUGUUAAAUGAGCCUUUACUGAUAGUGUCUGAAGAAUCUUAAUGACACCAGCUUGAAGAUAAGAGCUAAUACAUCACACCUACUCAAACCAGAUCACCUUGAACAUCAGAAAAUUAUAUUAAAUAUAGGCCACUUGACAAGUUGCCUAAAGAUUGCCCAGCUACAGUAAAAAAAAGAAAUAUUAAAUGUGUGUAAAUCAUGCACUUUUGCCAAAUUAAAUAAAAGAAAUUCACACUGCA